UAUUAUUUUGUUUAUAGCAAAUACAGUUGCAAAUAUAUUGUUUCAAUGUGUAGUUAAUGGUAUUAAUGUAUAGUAUAUGAUUUUAAUCUAUUUUAAUCUAUAGUAAUGGUAUUUUACCCAUGCCUUAUUUUGGGAUAUUUGUAACUUCUGCUGUCUUUAUCUUAGUAUUCUGGAAUACUAUGGUUUAUUUCGAAAAUGUUUCUCAGAUGUCGCAUGUUUUCCCAUUCUAGAUUGAUAGAUAGAAUUUACGGUAGCGUUCUUUGGCCUGCUGUCCAAAGAACAUAGAAAACAAUACGGAAUGCGAUCAUCUCAUGUGCGGUGGCACCACAAAGUAGAUUGCAGAAGUUAACUCAGCAGCAUGGACGCGUUCCAGGCACUUACUGCGACCGCAAGGGGCAACACGGUGGACACGAACAAAAAAACGCACAACUAAGCAAGGGGGAACCUGGACAGAUCCAUCAGGCAACGACAAAGAUGAUUAUCCAGACAUCCCCAACGUCAAAGCAGCAGUAUCUUUGGCCUCAGCAUCCUUAUUUUCCACUGGGCUUUGUGGACAGGAAUGUCUUUUUCGACAUGUUCCAACUUUAAACUGUUCAUCUCAUGCCUAAUAAUUGUCACUCAGCACUGACACCUGGUGGACGUUAUGUUGUCAUGCAGAUGUUGUUAUGCCUAAUAAGAACAGAUUCAGAUUUGAUUCUUAGUAGUUAUCUUGCUGACUGUUUCUUGUUGACUAAUACUUCUUGCGUAUGUACUGUUUUUACUCGCUUAUUGGUUUUCUUGCUUACUGCUUUUUCUAAAAUGUACAUAUUCA
Molecule: long non-coding RNA, 811 nt
Organism: Syngnathus typhle (broad-nosed pipefish)
Lineage: Eukaryota; Metazoa; Chordata; Actinopteri; Syngnathiformes; Syngnathidae
Exons: 3
Source: RefSeq, a predicted model, not a curated record